AGUGAACGCUGGCGGUAGGCCUAACACAUGCAAGUCGAACGGCAGCACAGUAAGAGCUUGCUCUUACGGGUGGCGAGUGGCGGACGGGUGAGGAAUACAUCGGAAUCUACUUUUUCGUGGGGGAUAACGUAGGGAAACUUACGCUAAUACCGCAUACGACCUACGGGUGAAAGCAGGGGAUCUUCGGACCUUGCGCGAUUGAAUGAGCCGAUGUCGGAUUAGCUAGUUGGCGGGGUAAAGGCCCACCAAGGCGACGAUCCGUAGCUGGUCUGAGAGGAUGAUCAGCCACACUGGAACUGAGACACGGUCCAGACUCCUACGGGAGGCAGCAAUGGGGAAUAUUGGACAAUGGGCGCAAGCCUGAUCCAGCCAUACCGCGUGGGUGAAGAGGGCCUUCGGGUUGUAAAGCCCUUUUGUUGGGAAAGAAAAGCAGCAGGUUAAUACCCCGCUGUUCUGACGGUACCCAAAGAAUAAGCACCGGCUAACUUCGUG
This 492-nucleotide ribosomal RNA is filed under the name uncultured bacterium. Its description in RNAcentral is "partial 16S ribosomal RNA". It matches the Rfam family "Bacterial small subunit ribosomal RNA", at positions 29 to 507 of the family's 1533-position model. The record is from RNAcentral.